This 253-nucleotide ribosomal RNA is filed under the name uncultured bacterium. RNAcentral's name for it is "partial 16S ribosomal RNA". It matches the Rfam family "Bacterial small subunit ribosomal RNA", at positions 524 to 776 of the family's 1533-position model. The record is from RNAcentral.
AACGGGGGCGGCAAGCGUUAUCGGGAAUCACUGGGCGUAAAGCGUCUGUAGGUGGUGAUGCAAGUCACUGGUGCAAAACUCUGGCUCAACCGGAGGAAAGCCAGUGAAACUGCAUGACUAGAGUGUGGGAGAGGUAGAAGGAAUUCCCUGAGUAGCGGUGAAAUGCGUAGAUACAGGGAAGAACACCGGAGGCGAAAGCGUUCUACUGGAACACAACUGACACUGAGAGGCGAAAGCUAGGGGAGCGAAUGGG